RNAcentral lists this ribosomal RNA (1839 nucleotides) under Escherichia coli. RNAcentral describes it as "partial 23S ribosomal RNA". It matches the Rfam family "Bacterial large subunit ribosomal RNA", at positions 1 to 1866 of the family's 2925-position model. The record is from RNAcentral. Lineage: Bacteria; Pseudomonadati; Pseudomonadota; Gammaproteobacteria; Enterobacterales; Enterobacteriaceae.
GUUAAGCGACUAAGCGUACACGGUGGAUGCCCUGGCAGUCAGAGGCGAUGAAGGACGUGCUAAUCUGCGAUAAGCGUCGGUAAGGUGAUAUGAACCGUUAUAACCGGCGAUUUCCGAAUGGGGAAACCCAGUGUGUUUCGACACACUAUCAUUAACUGAAUCCAUAGGUUAAUGAGGCGAACCGGGGGAACUGAAACAUCUAAGUACCCCGAGGAAAAGAAAUCAACCGAGAUUCCCCCAGUAGCGGCGAGCGAACGGGGAGCAGCCCAGAGCCUGAAUCAGUGUGUGUGUUAGUGGAAGCGUCUGGAAAGGCGCGCGAUACAGGGUGACAGCCCCGUACACAAAAAUGCACAUGCUGUGAGCUCGAUGAGUAGGGCGGGACACGUGGUAUCCUGUCUGAAUAUGGGGGGACCAUCCUCCAAGGCUAAAUACUCCUGACUGACCGAUAGUGAACCAGUACCGUGAGGGAAAGGCGAAAAGAACCCCGGCGAGGGGAGUGAAAAAGAACCUGAAACCGUGUACGUACAAGCAGUGGGAGCACGCUUAGGCGUGUGACUGCGUACCUUUUGUAUAAUGGGUCAGCGACUUAUAUUCUGUAGCAAGGUUAACCGAAUAGGGGAGCCGAAGGGAAACCGAGUCUUAACUGGGCGUUAAGUUGCAGGGUAUAGACCCGAAACCCGGUGAUCUAGCCAUGGGCAGGUUGAAGGUUGGGUAACACUAACUGGAGGACCGAACCGACUAAUGUUGAAAAAUUAGCGGAUGACUUGUGGCUGGGGGUGAAAGGCCAAUCAAACCGGGAGAUAGCUGGUUCUCCCCGAAAGCUAUUUAGGUAGCGCCUCGUGAAUUCAUCUCCGGGGGUAGAGCACUGUUUCGGCAAGGGGGUCAUCCCGACUUACCAACCCGAUGCAAACUGCGAAUACCGGAGAAUGUUAUCACGGGAGACACACGGCGGGUGCUAACGUCCGUCGUGAAGAGGGAAACAACCCAGACCGCCAGCUAAGGUCCCAAAGUCAUGGUUAAGUGGGAAACGAUGUGGGAAGGCCCAGACAGCCAGGAUGUUGGCUUAGAAGCAGCCAUCAUUUAAAGAAAGCGUAAUAGCUCACUGGUCGAGUCGGCCUGCGCGGAAGAUGUAACGGGGCUAAACCAUGUACCGAAGCUGCGGCAGCGACGCUUAUGCGUUGUUGGGUAGGGGAGCGUUCUGUAAGCCUGUGAAGGUGUGCUGUGAGGCAUGCUGGAGGUAUCAGAAGUGCGAAUGCUGACAUAAGUAACGAUAAAGCGGGUGAAAAGCCCGCUCGCCGGAAGACCAAGGGUUCCUGUCCAACGUUAAUCGGGGCAGGGUGAGUCGACCCCUAAGGCGAGGCCGAAAGGCGUAGUCGAUGGGAAACAGGUUAAUAUUCCUGUACUUGGUGUUACUGCGAAGGGGGGACGGAGAAGGCUAUGUUGGCCGGGCGACGGUUGUCCCGGUUUAAGCGUGUAGGCUGGUUUUCCAGGCAAAUCCGGAAAAUCAAGGCUGAGGCGUGAUGACGAGGCACUACGGUGCUGAAGCAACAAAUGCCCUGCUUCCAGGAAAAGCCUCUAAGCAUCAGGUAACAUCAAAUCGUACCCCAAACCGACACAGGUGGUCAGGUAGAGAAUACCAAGGCGCUUGAGAGAACUCGGGUGAAGGAACUAGGCAAAAUGGUGCCGUAACUUCGGGAGAAGGCACGCUGAUAUGUAGGUGAAGUCCCUCGCGGAUGGAGCUGAAAUCAGUCGAAGAUACCAGCUGGCUGCAACUGUUUAUUAAAAACACAGCACUGUGCAAACACGAAAGUGGACGUAUACGGUGUGACGCCUGCCCGG